AACAUAGCCUUUAGCAAUAUUAGUAUUAUAGGUACUGCCUGCCCAGUGAGACCAUCUUCAACGGCCGCGGUAUCCUAACCGUGCAAAGGUAGCGUAAUCACUUGUCUUCUAAAUAAAGACUAGUAUGAACGGCCAAAUGAGGAUUUACCUGUCUCUUAUAUCCAAUCAGUGAAACUAAUCUUUCAGUACAAAAGCUGAAAUAUACACAUAAGACGAGAAGACCCUGUGGAGCUUUAAACUACUAAUUAAAACUAUAGUUUACCGUUUUAAGUUGGGGCGACUUUGGAAAAAAAAUAAACUUCCAAGAAAGGGCCACACACCCCACUAAGGUCAACACACCAAAGUACAAAACAUCAAGACCCAGUAACACUGAUCAACGAACCAAGUUACCCCAGGGAUAACAGCGCCAUCUUCUUCUAGAGUCCCUAUCGACAAGAAGGAUUACGACCUCGAUGUUGGAUCAGGAUACCCAAGUAGUGCAGCCGCCACUAAAGGUUCGUUUGUUCAACGAUUAAAAUCCUACGUGAUCUGAGUUCAGACCGGAGCAAUCC
This 551-nucleotide ribosomal RNA is filed under the name Xantusia vigilis. RNAcentral's name for it is "partial 16S ribosomal RNA". It matches the Rfam family "Bacterial large subunit ribosomal RNA", at positions 1812 to 2627 of the family's 2925-position model. The record is from RNAcentral. Lineage: Eukaryota; Metazoa; Chordata; Lepidosauria; Squamata; Xantusiidae.